UGGGGAAUCUUGCGCAAUGGCCGAAAGGCUGACGCAGCGACGCCGCGUGUGGGAGGACGCCUUUCGGGGUGUAAACCACUGUUGCCCGGGACGAACACGGCUAUUCGUAGCCGCUGACGGUACCGGGUGAGGAAGCACCGGCUAACUCCGUGCCAGCAGCCGCGGUAAUACGGAGGGUGCGAGCGUUGUCCGGAAUCAUUGGGCGUAAAGGGCGCGUAGGUGGCCCAGUCAGCGUGCGGUGAAAGCUCGGGGCUCAACCCCGAGUCGGCCGUGCGAACUGCUGGGCUCGAGCACUGUAGAGGCAGGCGGAAUUCCGGGUGUAGCGGUGGAAUGCGUAGAGAUCCGGAAGAACACCGGUGGCGAAGGCGGCCUGCUGGGCAGUAGCUGACACUGAGGCGCGACAGCGUGGGGAGCAAACA
Molecule: ribosomal RNA, 419 nt
Filed under: uncultured Gemmatimonas sp.
Lineage: Bacteria; Pseudomonadati; Gemmatimonadota; Gemmatimonadia; Gemmatimonadales; Gemmatimonadaceae
Also listed under: 1 other name
Description: bacterial SSU rRNA
Rfam family: Bacterial small subunit ribosomal RNA
Source: RNAcentral